Molecule: transfer RNA, 64 nt
Filed under: Anoplocephala magna
Lineage: Eukaryota; Metazoa; Platyhelminthes; Cestoda; Cyclophyllidea; Anoplocephalidae
Description: tRNA-Gly
Source: RNAcentral
AUAUCAUUAGUAUAAGUAAUUAUGCUACUUUUCCAAAGUGGUGAUCUAUUUUUUAGAUGAUAUA